This 468-nucleotide ribosomal RNA is filed under the name uncultured bacterium. Its description in RNAcentral is "partial 16S ribosomal RNA". It matches the Rfam family "Bacterial small subunit ribosomal RNA", at positions 28 to 507 of the family's 1533-position model. The record is from RNAcentral.
GACGAACGCUGGCGGCGUGCUUAACACAUGCCAGUCGAACGGAAAGGCCCUGCUUUUGUGGGGUGCUCGAGUGGCGAACGGGUGAGUAACACGUGAGUAACCUGCCCUUGACUUUGGGAUAACUUCAGGAAACUGGGGCUAAUACCGGAUAGGAGCUCCUGCUGCAUGGUGGGGGUUGGAAAGUUUCGGCGGUUGGGGAUGGACUCGCGGCUUAUCAGCUUGUUGGUGGGGUAGUGGCUUACCAAGGCUUUGACGGGUAGCCGGCCUGGGAGGGUGGCCGGCCACAUUGGGACUGAGAUACGGCCCAGACUGCUACGGGAGGCAGCAGUGGGGAAUAUUGCACAAUGGGCGGAAGCCUGAUGCAGCAACGCCGCGUGCGGGAUGACGGCCUUCGGGUUGUAAACCGCUUUCGCCUGUGACGAAGCGUGAGUGACGGUAAUGGGUAAAGAAGCACCGGCUAACUACGUG